RNAcentral lists this ribosomal RNA (570 nucleotides) under uncultured bacterium. Its description in RNAcentral is "partial 16S ribosomal RNA". It matches the Rfam family "Bacterial small subunit ribosomal RNA", at positions 355 to 919 of the family's 1533-position model. The record is from RNAcentral.
UGGGGAAUUUUGGACAAUGGGCGAAAGCCUGAUCCAGCAAUGCCGCGUGUGUGAAGAAGGCCUUCGGGUUGUAAAGCACUUUUGUCCGGAAAGAAAUCCUUGGCUCUAAUACAGUCGGGGGAUGACGGUACCGGAAGAAUAAGCACCGGCUAACUACGUGCCAGCAGCCGCGGUAAUACGUAGGGUGCAAGCGUUAAUCGGAAUUACUGGGCGUAAAGCGUGCGCAGGCGGUUUGCUAAGACCGAUGUGAAAUCCCCGGGCUCAACCUGGGAACUGCAUUGGUGACUGGCAGGCUAGAGUAUGGCAGAGGGGGGUAGAAUUCCACGUGUAGCAGUGAAAUGCGUAGAGAUGUGGAGGAAUACCGAUGGCGAAGGCAGCCCCCUGGGCCAAUACUGACGCUCAUGCACGAAAGCGUGGGGAGCAAACAGGAUUAGAUACCCUGGUAGUCCACGCCCUAAACGAUGUCAACUAGUUGUUGGGGAUUCAUUCCUUAGUAACGUAGCUAACGCGUGAAGUUGACCGCCUGGGGAGUACGGUCGCAAGAUUAAAACUCAAAGGAAUUGACGGGGU